AAACACUUGAUAUACGUCAACAACUAUUGCUUUUGAGGUUGAAUUAAUAAUCUAAAAAGAAAAUGACGAAGUCACUGAGGUGUGGAUGCUAUGGUUCUACCAUCCCCAGUCUCCCUUCCCCCUUUCAAUCAGAACCCUAAUUGUGUUUCAGAUACUCCUUGGACAUACCCCAUCCCCAGAGGAGCUCAUGUCAGACUCUGUGGACGGACCUGUUGCUCUAAGCUUGAGGAGGAAGCCAACCUCAAGGAUUAUCCGGAGAAGAGAAGAAGAAACCUGUGUCUUUGACAACUUGUUUGAGCCGUUAGUCAACAAAUCGUAAAACCCACCUUGCUUAGAAGUCUAUUACAUAGCGCAAUAAAUUUCUGUUUUUUUUUUGAGUUGGGGUCUCGCUCUGUUGCCCAGGCUGGAGUGCAGUGGCGUGAUCUUGGCUCACUGCAACCUCCAUCUCCCAGGUUCAAGUGAUUCUCCUGCCCCAGCCUCCCGAGUAGCUGGGACUAUGGGCGCCUGCCACGACGCCCGGCUAAUUUUUGUAUUUUUAGUAGAGACUGGGUUUCACCAUAUUGGUCAGGCUGGUCUCAAACUCCUGGCCUUGUGAUCGGCGCACCUCAGUCACCCAAAGUGCUGGGAUUACAGGCAUGAGCCACCGCGCCCAGCCAAAUUUCUGUACUUUUAAAGCCAGUUCAAGUUGAUAUUUCCAUUGCCUAUUAACAAAAGUAUCUUAUCUGAUAUAGAUGGUCUCUAACAUGGUUGGUGUUCCUUCAAUAUCCAAGCUCUGGGUCUGGUUCAGAAUUCUGUAAGUCGCAGAAUCAUAGAACGAUAGAAGUCAGAGAGCCAAUCUUGUUCCCAUUACAUAAAGGCUAAGAUGCAGGCCCAGAGAUGGGAAGCAACUUGUGCCAGGACACACAGCUAAUAGGGUGCAAAGUCAUAAGGUGCAUCCAUGUUUUGCUUGACUCUUAAAAAACUUUCUUUCCUUGAACCCCACUGUCAGCAUCUGAGAAAAAAAAAAAAGCUGAUAUUAUAUGAGAAUACAGAAAAAGGAAUGAAAACCAAGAAGCAAAACUUCUCUGCAGAUUCUUCAGGAGAUCUAACUCCCAGAAGCCCUCCAGCUUUCACCCAGCCUCUAGUUCUCCAAGGCUCAGAUCUGUUUAGUGUUUUCCACGCCAUGAUAUAUGUGGCACUAACGGCCAGAGCAGGGCCUGAUAAACUCUUCUGGGACUGAUGGCCCUCAGGACACAUUGUAGAUCAAGGCGAUGAGAGGGCACUGAUGAGAUGCUACAGUGUGGCCAGCCCAAGCUUUUGCUUAAAUGCACCCUUCACAGUACUGAGCAACAAGGAAGUGACUCUCAGACACAGAGACAGAACUGGCAUCAAACAACUUUGGGAACCUCAGCUUCAGGCAGGCCCAGGAGACGUCAGUGCAUCUUAAAUGGGCUGCCUUUUCUUCCUUUCACCAGGCCAGAGGCUGAGGACUUAUAACACGUACACAUGCUGGGGCUGAUCUUGAGUCCAAGCCCACUCACUUCCAAGAGAGUAAGCAAUCUUAUACAGAUUGAGCAUCCCUUAUCCAAAAAUCCGAACUUCUAAAUACUCCAAAAUCUGAAAUAUUCUGAGCGCCAACAUGAGAUAGUGACUCCUUUCCUUUGAUUCAAUGGAAACAAACUUUGUUUCAUGCACAAAUUAUUUAAAAUAUUGUAUAUAUGUGUAUAAGGUGUAUAGGAAACAUAAAUGAAUUUUGUGUUUAGACUUGAGUCCUUUUUCCAAGAUAUCUUGCAUAUAUGGAAAUAUUCCAAAAUCUGAAAAAAAAAAGAGAAAAGAAAAAAGAAAACACCAAAUCUGAGAUGCUUCUGGUUCCAAGCAUUUUGGAUAAGGUAUAUGCAACCUAUUAGGUUGGCUCAAAAGUAAUUGCGAUUUUGCCAUUACUUUCAAUAGCAAAACCAUAAUUACUUUUGCACCAACCUAGUGGAAUAGAUUAUACCAUGGUAGAGACUCCUAGCGCUCAUCUGUAUUUGGGUCUCUUCUUUUGAGUGCAUGGGAGGGUUACAUUUUUUCACACACACACCCUUUGAAGGUGGGAUCAUACAAUUAGCUCUAGUCCAUUGGCAGUGAGCAGAAUGGAUCAUAUUUAUUCUGAAUCAAUGCAUUUCAUUGCCAGUGAGAUAUCAUCCAGUUUCUCUUCCUCUGCCUUGGCAAUCAUGGACACAUGUGUAAUCGAAGUGCUGCAAGACGGAAAGUACCUGGAGCUCUAAAUUGCAUGGUGAUUGAGAAGAGAACUGCCCAAGAGAGUGGUUUCAAUCUGCAGUAAAGAACAGACUUUUGUUAAGUCACAAGAUUUCAGUGCUGUUUGUUAUUGAAGCAUAACCUAGCCUAACUGACACAGUAGUCUAAUCAAUAUCAGUAAUAGCUACUAUCAUUAUAUAAGCACUGUUUCAGGAACUGUGUUCAAAGUUUUAUGGACCUUAAGUCAUUUACAUUCCACACUAAACCUACAGGAGAAGAUCUGGGAUUUUCUCAGGGACAAAUAUGUAAGACAUAGCAGCUGCAAAUUCUCAUAUGUAGGCUGAUUUAACUCCAAAAUCUCAUAUGCUUUAUUGUUAAACAUUAAAAAAGAAACCCAGAGGGAGAAAAACUUAUAAUUUAAAAAUCAGAUGGAAAAAUAUGUAUGUAAGAUGAUCCCAAUUAUUUUUACAUAGGCAGAGAGAACAGAAGUGGACCAUGCUAUAUAAUAUAUACAGUUGAUAUCUUUCAUGGUUUUAUGGAAGAUUUUUGUUUUAUUUUUAUAUGGAUCUACAAUCUUUUAGGUCUUCCACAAUGAGUAAACAUUAUUAAGUCUUCUACAAGAACCACACAUUAUUCAAUAAUCAGAAAGCUAUACAUCUUUAGACAUAAGAUAGUAUCCAAAAUAGAAUGUGAGUUUCUGAUAUCUGAAACCUUCCACCACUCAAGGAAACUUGGGGAGUGAUGGAGAACAAAUGUUCAUUAAGCCCCUACUAUGUGCCUAUCAUUUUUAAUAUGUUUUCGCAUUUAUUCCUCCCACCUAUCCUGGAGAAACAAGGAUUUAUCUUCCCAAUAUUCAGGUAAGGAUUCUGAGAGGUUAAGUGACUUGCCUAAGGUCAUACAGCUAUGACAAAUCAGAACAAGGCUUUUGGACCCCAAACUCAUGUUCUUUCCACUACAUGGUGCUUGCUUUGAUUAACCCCACUGGGUAGUAAUUUACAGUUGGCCUUAAUCCUAUACUUCUUCAUACCUACAAAUGUAUGAAUGCCUGAAUUUUACUGCAAACCAUAGUCAAUACCCCUCCAUGAGAUGAACCACAAAAAAACAUGGAAAUGAGAAUCAACGUGUUAAUUUAUCACUUAUGUGCAUUUCUAAUCUUAUUCCCCAGAGAAUAACUCCCUGAGCUGGUGCACAUGACAAUAAUUUAUUGUAUAUUUCAAAAUAGCUAUGUAUUAGGAUUCUCUUAGAGAGAUAGAACUAAUAGGGUGUAUAUACAUAUAUAUAAAGGGGAGUUUAUUAAGUGUUAACUUACAUGAUCACAAAGUCCCACAAUAGGCUGUCUGCAAGCUGAGGAGCAAGGAGAGCCAGUCCGAGUCCCAAAACUGAACAACUUGCUGUCCGAUGUUCAAGGGCAGGAAGCAUCCAGCACGGGAGAAAGAUGUAGACUGGGAGGCUAGGCCCAUCUCGCCUUUUUUGUUUGUCUGCCUGCUUUAUACUCGCUGGCGGCUGAUUAGAUGCUGUCCACCCAGAUUAAGGGUGGGUCUGCCUUCCCCAGCCCACUGACUCAAAUGUUGAUCUCCUUUGGUAAC
RNAcentral lists this long non-coding RNA (3803 nucleotides) under Homo sapiens (human). Its description in RNAcentral is "HSALNT0229186". Lineage: Eukaryota; Metazoa; Chordata; Mammalia; Primates; Hominidae. The record is from RNAcentral.